RNAcentral lists this ribosomal RNA (245 nucleotides) under Massilia eburnea. RNAcentral describes it as "partial 23S ribosomal RNA". It matches the Rfam family "Bacterial large subunit ribosomal RNA", at positions 20 to 270 of the family's 2925-position model. The record is from RNAcentral. Lineage: Bacteria; Pseudomonadati; Pseudomonadota; Betaproteobacteria; Burkholderiales; Oxalobacteraceae.
CAUGGCGGAUGCCUUGGCGAUUACAGGCGAUGAAGGACGUAGAAGUCUGCGAUAAGCUUCGGGGAGCUGACAAACAAGCUUUGAUCCGAAGAUUUCCGAAUGGGGAAACCCGGCCUUUUAGGUCAUCGUUAGCUGAAUACAUAGGCUAACGAAGCGAACGCGGCGAACUGAAACAUCUAAGUAGCUGCAGGAAAAGAAAUCAACCGAGAUUCCCAAAGUAGUGGCGAGCGAAAUGGGAAGAGCCU